This is a long non-coding RNA of Carassius gibelio (silver crucian carp), 1156 nucleotides long. RefSeq lists it as uncharacterized. The record is from RefSeq and is a predicted model, not a curated record. Lineage: Eukaryota; Metazoa; Chordata; Actinopteri; Cypriniformes; Cyprinidae. The transcript is spliced from 3 exons.
CAGCUGCAGUGAAGUCGAGUGACGUCAUGACGACGCGCAGGAAGGGGCGGGGCUUCGGUGCAGCUGAGCUGAGUGACGUGUUCUAAUAAUCACACGGUUAGCAGCUCUUUUUUUUUUUUUUUAAGAUCCAAUAUCUCCUGAUUCACACUUCAGCCCAGUCGGUGGCGGUAAUGCACCGUUAAGUUGGUUUGCCAACCGCCAUAAAAAAAUAAAUAAAUAAUAAGAAGUUGUUAGCAGCUCAUUCAUCACAGAAGACAUGGUUUUAUUAGAAAACGACGCGGUCAGCACCAAAGAAGUAAUAAAGUUUCAGAUGGCGUAUUCAAACUUCACACGGACGGCUUGAAAAAGAAAGACAAAAAGAGUAAAAGAAAGAAAACGAAAGCCACGCAGUCAUGACCUCUGACCUCUGACCUCUGACACGCACCAGUGCCAAGUUUGAAAGAUGGGAGUUUUUGAACUAAACCACUCGCUCUUGUAGAUUUGCAAAUAAGAGACGAGGUUUAUUCACUGUUUGGAUCCCAGAGAGCUUCAGAAGAGACUUGUGCGCUGUAGAAAACGAAUCUCAGAUGGCGGUGCUUCUCUUGUCCGGCCGCUCUCUGCUGGAGCUCAGCGUGUGACUGCGCUCUUCUUCCAGAUAAGAGUCCUUCAUGAUCGCCGUCACGUACUGGAACAGCGUCUGGAGGGAAACAAACAUGUUCAAGAACGAUAAAGACGAUAUUUGAGAAUGUAAAGAGAACUAAAGAUGGAGCAUCUGUGAGAGAAGAGAGACAGAGAUGAGUGUGAGGAAGAGUCCAGACAUCAUCAUCAUCAUCAUCUUCAUCAUGAGCUCAUCACCUGCCAGGCCUGCUCCAGCUCAGACGUCCAUCGGUCCUUCAGAACCGGCCGAACCGCGCAGAUGAACUCCGCUCCCACAUACUGAAACACAAUAACUUACAUUAACUCUUAGACAUUUAGCAGACGCGAAGCAAUCAAAUUCAUCAUGAUACACAAGUGCAAUGACACGACUCCGUCAGCUUCAUGCAGAACACAUAGCGAAGGGUUUUAAAUCAUAUAAUAAAAGAACAGAGCAAGCUAGUGCUAGAGGAGGAUUUACAUACUACAGAACAAUAAGACUGUUAAAAGUAUGCCUUGAAAUAAAAUGCAUUUAAAAAAGAAA